UUUCCCAUAGUGUAGUGGUUUAGCACCCCACACUUUGAAUGUGGUAACCUGAGUUCGACUCUCAGUGGGAGAA
Transfer RNA from Fistulifera solaris, 73 nucleotides. It matches the Rfam family "tRNA". Rfam says of the family: Transfer RNA (tRNA) molecules are approximately 80 nucleotides in length. Their secondary structure includes four short double-helical elements and three loops (D, anti-codon, and T loops). Further hydrogen bonds mediate the characteristic L-shaped molecular structure. tRNAs have two regions of fundamental functional importance: the anti-codon, which is responsible for specific mRNA codon recognition, and the 3' end, to which the tRNAs corresponding amino acid is attached (by aminoacyl-tRNA synthetases). tRNAs cope with the degeneracy of the genetic code in two manners: having more than one tRNA (with a specific anti-codon) for a particular amino acid; and 'wobble' base-pairing, i.e. permitting non-standard base-pairing at the 3rd anti-codon position. The record is from Rfam. NCBI's taxonomy places the organism in Eukaryota, Bacillariophyta, Bacillariophyceae, Naviculales, Stauroneidaceae.